RNAcentral lists this ribosomal RNA (761 nucleotides) under uncultured bacterium. RNAcentral describes it as "bacterial SSU rRNA". It matches the Rfam family "Bacterial small subunit ribosomal RNA", at positions 629 to 1391 of the family's 1533-position model. The record is from RNAcentral.
UGAACUGGGUGACUAGAGUGUGUCAGAGGGAGGUAGAAUUCCACGUGUAGCAGUGAAAUGCGUAGAGAUGUGGAGGAAUACCGAUGGCGAAGGCAGCCUCCUGGGAUAACACUGACGUUCAUGCCCGAAAGCGUGGGUAGCAAACAGGAUUAGAUACCCUGGUAGUCCACGCCCUAAACGAUGUCGAUUAGCUGUUGGGCAGCAUGACUGCUUAGUAGCGAAGCUAACGCGUGAAAUCGACCGCCUGGGGAGUACGGUCGCAAGAUUAAAACUCAAAGGAAUUGACGGGGACCCGCACAAGCGGUGGAUGAUGUGGAUUAAUUCGAUGCAACGCGAAGAACCUUACCUGGUCUUGACAUGUACGGAAUCCUCCAGAGACGGAGGAGUGCCUUCGGGAGCCGUAACACAGGUGCUGCAUGGCUGUCGUCAGCUCGUGUCGUGAGAUGUUGGGUUAAGUCCCGCAACGAGCGCAACCCUUGUCAUUAGUUGCCAUCAUUAAGUUGGGCACUCUAAUGAGACUGCCGGUGACAAGCCGGAGGAAGGUGGGGAUGACGUCAAGUCCUCAUGGCCCUUAUGACCAGGGCUUCACACGUCAUACAAUGGUCGGUACAGAGGGUAGCCAAGCCGCGAGGCGGAGCCAAUCUCACAAAACCGAUCGUAGUCCGGAUUGCACUCUGCAACUCGAGUGCAUGAAGUCGGAAUCGCUAGUAAUCGCAGGUCAGCAUACUGCGGUGAAUACGUUCCCGGGUCUUGUACACACC